GGCUAGAUCACCAGUUCCGAUACGAUCACCAAAGUUAAGCAACAUCGAGCCUGAUCAGUACCUAGAGGGUUGAACGCUUGGAAAUACUAGGUGCUGUA
Non-coding RNA from Acanthosepion pharaonis, 98 nucleotides. The record is from the annotation of a GenBank genome assembly. Lineage: Eukaryota; Metazoa; Mollusca; Cephalopoda; Sepiida; Sepiidae.